Long non-coding RNA from Oxyura jamaicensis (ruddy duck), 166 nucleotides. RefSeq lists it as uncharacterized. Lineage: Eukaryota; Metazoa; Chordata; Aves; Anseriformes; Anatidae. The transcript has 3 exons. The record is from RefSeq and is a predicted model, not a curated record.
UGUUAAACUGACAAAAAUCAUAGAAUGGCCUGGGUUGGAAGGGACCUUAAAAAUCGUUUAAUUCCAGCCCCCUGAAAUUGGCAGGGAGGCCUCCCACCAGACCAGGUUGCUCAAAGCCCCAUCCAACCUGGCCUUGAACACCUCCAGGGAUUGGGCAUCCACAGCU